CGGCCGCCGCCCCAGCUCCAGCCGUGGCCAUCGCGCCCAGAGCCAGCCGCGGCCGCCGCCCCCACGUCCCACCGCGGCCGCUGCCCUGCGCGCCAACGACCCCUUCCCCCGCCGCCGCGCCACAGGUCCACUUCGCCAUGAGCUCCAGCGCCGACCAUCCCGCCGCUGCUCGUGAUCCCCUCUUCCGUCAGCUCCACUUCACCGGAACCUUCCUUUCAGUCAGCUAAACGUAAAUAUGUUGGAUGAUGUUGUGGAGAGGGCCACCGAGAGGGGGUUUGCAUUGCCAAAGUCGAAGGUGGCCAUCGCCUUGACCUGCCUAGACCUCUUGACCUUUAACAACGCUCAAACAGGAAACACAUGUUGGAGGAGGAGACCACAAGCUAAUUGAUGAUUUGGAUGAGUGGAUCAGAGGACGACAUGAGCAGCUCAAGUCUCUCAACACGCGGAUGGAUGAUGUUGUGGAGAGGGCCAUCGAGAGGGGGUUUGCAUUGCCAAAGUUGAAGGUGGCCAUCGCCUUGACCUGCCUGGACCUCGUGACCUUUCACAACGCUCAAACAGGAAACACAUGUUGGAGGAGGAGACCACAAGCUAAUUUUAAGCAUCAACUAUUUGUUAGCUAUCAAUCUCGUCCUUUGAGCAUAUAUACUUUAUUUCUUAAACCAUUAUGCAUGAGCUUUGUAGGAUGAUUUGGAUGAGUGGAUCAGAGGACGACAUGAGCAGGUAUUUCCAUUUGAUCAUACCCAAAAUGAUAAUGUAUACCCUAACUUAAGAUGAUGGCUCUUCUACUCUGCUAACAUAACAUGCAUGUGCUUGUGUGGAGUGCCUGCAAAAUUAAUAUCUCAAGUCUCUCAACACGCAGAUGUGGAGAGGGUUCUCCUAGCGGUCAU
Aegilops tauschii subsp. strangulata is the source of this 887-nucleotide long non-coding RNA. RefSeq lists it as uncharacterized. NCBI's taxonomy places the organism in Eukaryota, Viridiplantae, Streptophyta, Magnoliopsida, Poales, Poaceae. The record is from RefSeq and is a predicted model, not a curated record.